ACGGGGUCAGCAGGCGCGAAACCUUCGCAAUACGCGAAAGCGUGACGAGGGAACCCCAAGUGCCAGCCUACAAGGUUGGCUUUUCCAUACUCUAAAAAGGUAAGGGAAUAAAGGCUGGGCAAGACCGGUGCCAGCCUCCGCGGUAACACCGGCAGCCUGAGUGGUGCUCGCGUUUAUUGGGCUUAGAGCGUCCGUAGUCGGUUCAAUCAGUCCCCUGUGAAAUCCAACCGCUUAACGGUUGGGCUUGCAGAGGAUACUGUUAGACUAGGAGUCGGGAAGGGUCAGAGGUAUUCUCGGGGUAGCGGUGAAAUGCUAUAAUCCUGGGAAGACCACCAGUGGCGAAGGCGUCUGACUGGAACGAGCUCGACGAUGAGGGACGAGAGCUAGGGGAGCGAAAGGGAUUAGAUACCCCUGUAGUCCUAGCCGUAAACGAUGCAGACUAAGUGUUGCGGAAACUUCGUGUUCCCGCAGUGCUGUAGGGAAACCGUUAAGUCUGCCGCCUGGGAGUACGUCGCAAGAC
RNAcentral lists this ribosomal RNA (520 nucleotides) under uncultured archaeon. Its description in RNAcentral is "bacterial SSU rRNA". It matches the Rfam family "Archaeal small subunit ribosomal RNA", at positions 325 to 849 of the family's 1478-position model. The record is from RNAcentral.